UUACCGAGUGAGGGCCCUCUGGGUCCAACCUCCCACCCGUGUCUAUCGUACCUUGUUGCUUCGGCGGGCCCGCCGUUUCGACGGCCGCCGGGGAGGCCUUGCGCCCCCGGGCCCGCGCCCGCCGAAGACCCCAACAUGAACGCUGUUCUGAAAGUAUGCAGUCUGAGUUGAUUAUCGUAAUCAGUUAAAACUUUCAACAACGGAUCUCUUGGUUCCGGCAUCGAUGAAGAACGCAGCGAAAUGCGAUAAGUAAUGUGAAUUGCAGAAUUCAGUGAAUCAUCGAGUCUUUGAACGCACAUUGCGCCCCCUGGUAUUCCGGGGGGCAUGCCUGUCCGAGCGUCAUUGCUGCCCUCAAGCACGGCUUGUGUGUUGGGCCCCCGUCCCCCUCUCCCGGGGGACGGGCCCGAAAGGCAGCGGCGGCACCGCGUCCGGUCCUCGAGCGUAUGGGGCUUUGUCACCUGCUCUGUAGGCCCGGCCGGCGCCAGCCGACACCCAACUUUAUUUUUCUAAGGUUGACCUCGGAUCAGGUAGGGAUACCCGCUGAACUUAAGCAUAUCAAUAAGCGGAGGAAAAGAAACCAACAGGGAUUGCCUCAGUAACGGCGAGUGAAGCGGCAAGAGCUCAAAUUUGAAAGCUGGCCCCUUCGGGGUCCGCGUUGUAAUUUGCAGAGGAUGCUUCGGGUGCAGCCCCCGUCUAAGUGCCCUGGAACGGGCCGUCAUAGAGGGUGAGAAUCCCGUCUGGGACGGGGUGUCUGCGUCCGUGUGAAGCUCCUUCGACGAGUCGAGUUGUUUGGGAAUGCAGCUCUAAAUGGGUGGUAAAUUUCAUCUAAAGCUAAAUACUGGCCGGAGACCGAUAGCGCACAAGUAGAGUGAUCGAAAGAUGAAAAGCACUUUGAAAAGAGAGUUAAACAGCACGUGAAAUUGUUGAAAGGGAAGCGUUUGCGACCAGACUCGCCCGCGGGGUUCAGCCGGCAUUCGUGCCGGUGUACUUCCCCGUGGGCGGGCCAGCGUCGGUUUGGGCGGCCGGUCAAAGGCCCUCGGAAUGUAUCACCUCUCGGGGUGUCUUAUAGCCGAGGGUGCAAUGCGGCCUGCCUGGACCGAGGAACGC
This 1107-nucleotide ribosomal RNA is filed under the name Eurotiomycetes sp. genotype 108. RNAcentral's name for it is "eukaryotic LSU rRNA". The stretch from base 514 to 1107 matches the Rfam family "Eukaryotic large subunit ribosomal RNA", at positions 1 to 598 of the family's 3401-position model. Lineage: Eukaryota; Fungi; Ascomycota; Eurotiomycetes. The record is from RNAcentral.